Molecule: long non-coding RNA, 660 nt
Filed under: Trifolium pratense (red clover)
Lineage: Eukaryota; Viridiplantae; Streptophyta; Magnoliopsida; Fabales; Fabaceae
Description: long non-coding RNA (TPRA_LNC005714)
Source: RNAcentral
UGGAUUACUGCAAACAGCGGUAGCAGGGGAACUGAGUUCAACUUCUACAUCAACAGUCAAUGAAAUGUCUUCAUCAGUUGUACCAAGUUCUACAUUCUCGGACAAAGUUUAGAAGUUAGAAAUCAUGUAAUUUAUUUCUUCCAAAUUUGUUUAUAUAUUGCAUAUAUGAUAUAUCAUGUGCUCUACAUAUUUAAAUUGAGCUACAAUGAUUUUAAAAUGUUGAUAAUUCAAGUGAUCUUGAAGCCUACAUGGUUUACAAAGACAAUGACAAAGAUCAUAAUUUCUAAAGAUAUACUAUUUGACUAAAUCAAUAACAGUUGACUAGAAACCCAAUUAAGAUCUGCACAUGAAAGUGAAAGAAGAUGGGGUGAUGAUGGACUAACAGUUUACAUCUUGGAUAAUUUCUUAGCAAUAGUCACAUUCCUUUGAAAACAUUCCUUUUAAGAGUGGAAACCUAAUUUCCACUAUGUAAGAAAGUUUGUACCUUUGGAGUUUGGAGGAUGAGAGCAAUGUUGAAUGCGAAUUGAGUUGAGUGAGGAACAUAUGAGUCCCCAAGCGUUGAACGAACCAAGAUUUGCAAACCAGCAUCGCACCGCCCCAUUCAUCAGGCAGGAAGAUUCAGUUCUUUCCACCAAUAUUGUGUCUGAUUUUUUUUUUUUU